GACGAACGCUGGCGGCGGGCUUAACACAUGCAAGUCGAACGGAAAGGCCCUGCUUUUGUGGGGUGCUCGAGUGGCGAACGGGUGAGUAACACGUGAGUAACCUGCCCUUGACUUUGGGAUAACUUCAGGAAACUGGGGCUAAUACCGGAUAGGAGCUCCUGCUGCAUGGUGGGGGUUGGAAAGUUUCGGCGGUUGGGGAUGGACUCGCGGCUUAUCAGCUUGUUGGUGGGGUAGGGGCUUACCAAGGCUUUGGCGGGUAGCCGGCCUGAGAGGGUGACCGGCCACCUUGGGACUGCGAUACGGACCAGACUCCUACGGGAGGCAGCAGUGGGGAAUAUUGCACAAUGGGCGGAAGCCUGAUGCAGCAACGCCGCGUUCGGGAUGACGGCCUUCGGGUUGUAAACCGCUUUCGCCUGUGACGAAGCGUGAGUGACGGUAAUGGGUAAAGAAGCACCGGCUAACUACGUG
RNAcentral lists this ribosomal RNA (468 nucleotides) under uncultured bacterium. Its description in RNAcentral is "partial 16S ribosomal RNA". It matches the Rfam family "Bacterial small subunit ribosomal RNA", at positions 28 to 507 of the family's 1533-position model. The record is from RNAcentral.